RNAcentral lists this long non-coding RNA (282 nucleotides) under Mus pahari (shrew mouse). RNAcentral's name for it is "predicted gene 12730 (MGP_PahariEiJ_G0006213.1)". The record is from RNAcentral. Lineage: Eukaryota; Metazoa; Chordata; Mammalia; Rodentia; Muridae.
CUAAAUCUGGAAGCUGAGUCAUGGAUAUUUAUAAUCAACAACAGGUGUUUAUUAAUGAUGGCAGUGACAAUAGAGAAGGAAAGAGUUGUGUGGGGAUAACUCAUUAAUAUCAGGGAAUAAAGAAGUUGUACUUCUCUCUGCAAAGAAAUCAAGUUCAUACUGAAAUCUUUGCUGUCGUAAGAUUGAUCAUCAAUCAGCUGAUCCAAGACCCACCCCUUAUCACCGUCUCCCUUGUCUAUGUAGACAUUUUAGACAGAGUAGAAAAAUAAACACUUGUUUCUC